Molecule: long non-coding RNA, 250 nt
Filed under: Vigna radiata
Lineage: Eukaryota; Viridiplantae; Streptophyta; Magnoliopsida; Fabales; Fabaceae
Description: long non-coding RNA (VRAD_LNC015444)
Source: RNAcentral
UCGCUUUCAUUCGCGGGAGUGAGGUCAGCUCCUAUAUUAGUAAUCUGUUCAUCAUGCUUCCCCAGGACGAACGAUUUGAUCUCCCCCUGGGGUCGAAUCCGGUCGUCUGUGUUGGUCCUCUGGUCUAGGUCGACUAGUAUGGUUUUAGGCCUUCUCUCUCUUCUGUAUGUAGUGGCUUUCAAAGAGGUUGUGUAACAUUGCCGAGCGGUUUUCUGAUCUGCUCGAACGAUGCAUAUUUCACCUCUUCCGG